Molecule: transfer RNA, 63 nt
Filed under: Macrosaldula sp. PJ-2017
Lineage: Eukaryota; Metazoa; Arthropoda; Insecta; Hemiptera; Saldidae
Description: tRNA-Ala
Rfam family: tRNA
About the family: Transfer RNA (tRNA) molecules are approximately 80 nucleotides in length. Their secondary structure includes four short double-helical elements and three loops (D, anti-codon, and T loops). Further hydrogen bonds mediate the characteristic L-shaped molecular structure. tRNAs have two regions of fundamental functional importance: the anti-codon, which is responsible for specific mRNA codon recognition, and the 3' end, to which the tRNAs corresponding amino acid is attached (by aminoacyl-tRNA synthetases). tRNAs cope with the degeneracy of the genetic code in two manners: having more than one tRNA (with a specific anti-codon) for a particular amino acid; and 'wobble' base-pairing, i.e. permitting non-standard base-pairing at the 3rd anti-codon position.
Source: RNAcentral
GGGGUAGUAGUUAAAAAUAACAUUUAAUUUGCAAUUAAAAAGUACUAAAAUUAGUCUUCCUCA